GGAGGCGUAGCUCAGUUGGUUAGAGCACUUGCUUGACAUGCAAGGGGUCAUUGGUUCAAGUCCAACCGUCUCCACCA
Molecule: transfer RNA, 77 nt
Filed under: Clostridiales bacterium
Lineage: Bacteria; Bacillati; Bacillota; Clostridia; Eubacteriales
Also listed under: 1 other name
Description: tRNA-Val
Rfam family: tRNA
About the family: Transfer RNA (tRNA) molecules are approximately 80 nucleotides in length. Their secondary structure includes four short double-helical elements and three loops (D, anti-codon, and T loops).
Source: RNAcentral